This 987-nucleotide long non-coding RNA is filed under the name Jatropha curcas. RNAcentral describes it as "long non-coding RNA (JCUR_LNC000833)". The record is from RNAcentral. Lineage: Eukaryota; Viridiplantae; Streptophyta; Magnoliopsida; Malpighiales; Euphorbiaceae.
UAUAAUUCAACUCCAUAGGAUUUUUCUUUCUUCUAAUAACUGAAAAAAAUAGGUAGGCAGGGGUGAGCGCCAAACUCAAUGAGUAGGGUUAGAUAACCUUCUCACCCCACACAAUCAUACAAAUGCUAAAAUAUUUUUUUUUUGCUCACCGAUUAACUUUAUGAUCACACAGAUGCUAAAAUAUUUUAUUUGGUCCCCGAUUAAUUUUAUGAUUAUGCAGUGUCACACAAAUGGCAAUAUAUCAGCAAUCACAAAUAUCAUCAUCUUCAUAUAAUCAUAUCACGUGGAGAUUGGUCAGUGGAGUCACCUAAACCCGAUGAGCCGUCCUCCCACAUGGCCCAUCCACUCACAUGUGCACCAGGGAGCCAAUCCCCUAUUCUGGCUGGCUGGUAUAAUCCUCACACUGCUGGUCCUCUGAUUAUUUUCCCAAUCUCUCUCUCUUUUUCUUAUAUUAUUAUUAUUUUUUUAAAAAAAAACAAAUACCGACAGGAGGCAACCCGGUCGUCUCCAUCAAAUAGAGAUCAUCAGGCGCUCAAGCAGUAGGCCACCCUGCUAGCUUCGAUCAGAUCUAAAUUAUCAGGUGCGCCCAAAUAAAGAAGCCAACCUGUGGUUUUCCAGAAUAUACAGAUCAGAACAAUAGGUGCACAUGGGGGCGCCGAUCUCCCAUUUACCCGGCUAACAGAAAUCAGAAUCAGGAUCCAUAUAACGGUAACGGUCUCACAAACCCAUGGUGACCCACUUCAUCCCAAUUCCACACAAACAGGGCACAGCAAUAUCACAUCACAAAUAAUCACGUAAUAUUUAAUAUCAACAAAUAAUGCAGCACAAUAUGGCCAUAAUGCAUGAUAACAUUUAGCCGUGAAUGCAUGAAUGCAGGCGGAUGAUACUAGUUAUCUAACAACUACUCACAGUUCUUUAUUGUCCUUUAGAAGGACUGUCUUUUUAGCCGAAUGCUUCCAGCUUUUGUCCUUGCAUUUUGUAUUUUAU